GACGAACGCUGGCGGCGUGCUUAACACAUGCAAGUCGAACGGUAAGGCUCCAGCUUGCUGGGGUACACGAGUGGCGAACGGGUGAGUAACACGUGGGUUACCUGCCCUGCACUUCGGGAUAAGCCUGGGAAACUGGGUCUAAUACCGGAUAGGACCGCACCGUGAGGGUGUGGUGGAAAGUUUUUUCGGUGUGGGAUGGGCCCGCGGCCUAUCAGCUUGUUGGUGGGGUAAUGGCCUACCAAGGCGGCGACGGGUAGCCGGCCUGAGAGGGUGGACGGCCACAUUGGGACUGAGACACGGCCCAGACUCCUACGGGAGGCAGCAGUGGGGAAUAUUGCACAAUGGGCGGAAGCCUGAUGCAGCGACGCCGCGUGGGGGAUGACGGCCUUCGGGUUGUAAACUCCUUUCACCAUCGACGAAGGGUUUCUGACGGUAGAUGGAGAAGAAGCACCGGCUAACUACGUG
This 465-nucleotide ribosomal RNA is filed under the name uncultured bacterium. RNAcentral's name for it is "partial 16S ribosomal RNA". It matches the Rfam family "Bacterial small subunit ribosomal RNA", at positions 28 to 507 of the family's 1533-position model. The record is from RNAcentral.